CAAUACCUUACUUUUCUAUUUUGGCUUUUUAGUCAUUAUAUUAUUGUUCAAAAUUUAUAUAAUUAGAAGUAAUUUUAUUUUUAAUGACCACUGAAUCAUGUACAGUAGUAAAUGAAGGAAGACAUUGGUCCUUGCCUUUGGGGAGUUUAUUACAGAGGGAAAAACAGGAUUUCAAAUGCACCUGUCUCUCUUUCUUCCUACUGGGUGCAAUUCCUUCACCACGGACAGUGACACAAUGAAAACUUAGUUCUGAAUUUCAGUUUCGCUGUUGAUUACUUGGAAGAGUAAUCUGAAUCUCCCGUUCCCUUUUAAAAAAUAAGAUUAUAUGAGUCCCAUCCACCAAAUAGACAGAAGAAGAAGAUGAUGAUGAUUAAUUUGCAGUUAGUAAAUGCCCAUGUUCCUUCACAUCAACAACUUGAUUGGAAUUCGUAUACUUUUAGAAGUUUCACAAAUGGGCAUUAAAACCCACUGAGCCCCUUGGAAGCCUUUAUAGGCUUAGAAAAUUGUGUUUCCAAGUUUUAAAGUGCAAGGAAGCUCCUGGGAGCACAGCCCAUGAGUGUAAGCCUUCUCCAUCCCUGACUGAGCGAAUUACCAGAAUGUUGCCAAGAACGGGGUGCCAAUAAGGAUCUCAAAUUCCCCAACAAAUGAAGUCGGCAGUCCCCUAUGUGAUGCCUUCCUUAU
This is a long non-coding RNA of Heterocephalus glaber (naked mole-rat), 681 nucleotides long. The record is from Ensembl. NCBI's taxonomy places the organism in Eukaryota, Metazoa, Chordata, Mammalia, Rodentia, Bathyergidae.